GCGGAAUUAGCUCAAUUGGCAGAGCGCGACCCUUCCAAGGUCGAGGUCGAGGGUUCGAGGCCCUCAUUCCGCU
This 73-nucleotide transfer RNA is filed under the name Massilia sp. CF038. It matches the Rfam family "tRNA". From Rfam's summary of the family: Transfer RNA (tRNA) molecules are approximately 80 nucleotides in length. Lineage: Bacteria; Pseudomonadati; Pseudomonadota; Betaproteobacteria; Burkholderiales; Oxalobacteraceae. The record is from Rfam by way of RNAcentral.